GGGCCCGCACAAGCGGUGGAGCAUGUGGUUUAAUUCGAUGAUACGCGAGGAACCUUACCAGGGCUUAAAUGCAGAACGACCGGGGUGGAAACACCCCUUUCUUCGGACGGUCUGCAAGGUGCUGCAUGGUUGUCGUCAGCUCGUGCUGUGAAGUGUCGGGUUAAGUCCCAUAACGAGCGCAACCCCUAUUUCUAGUUGCCAGCGGUUCGGCCGGGGACUCUAGAGAAACUGCCAGCGUAAGCUGUGAGGAAGGUGGGGAUGACGUCAAAUCAUCACGGCCCUUACGUGUUGGGCUACACACGUGCUACAAUGGUAUCUACAACAGGAAGCAAGACUGCGAAGUUAAGCA
This 349-nucleotide ribosomal RNA is filed under the name uncultured bacterium. Its description in RNAcentral is "bacterial SSU rRNA". It matches the Rfam family "Bacterial small subunit ribosomal RNA", at positions 917 to 1269 of the family's 1533-position model. The record is from RNAcentral.